UUCAAGUUGAUCUACAAAUGUACCUAGAUACAGAAAAAAUUUAGAUGUAAAUACUAGUACAUAGAACAAACAAGCUCAUCUCGCAAACCGCAAUCAUUAGUACAAAGCUAGAAGACACUGUAGCAUUUUCAAGUGUAAUGCACAGUGGGAAGAAUGUUCAGAACUGUAGUUGUUGUGCUGCAAACUGAAAGAGAUAGUGCCACUGCUAAAUGGAAUGGUCCAAAACCAGAAUUCUGAUGAAAAAAAGAUCAGUUCCUCCACUUUUCACCAGUAUAAACUGCUUGAUCACCAAGCUCUUCUUCAAUUCUAAGCAACUGGUUGUACUUUGCAAGUCGUUCUCCUCGGCAAGGGGCACCAGCUUUAAUUUGACUAGUAGCUAAG
Molecule: unclassified non-coding RNA, 381 nt
Filed under: Hevea brasiliensis (rubber tree)
Lineage: Eukaryota; Viridiplantae; Streptophyta; Magnoliopsida; Malpighiales; Euphorbiaceae
Source: RNAcentral